GCAGGGGGAUAGGGGGCAGAUGUCCCAUUGAAGAGCCCAGAGUCCCUCUGGAGCUUCCCAUGCUCUCUGGUCUCCUCUGGGAGCUGUACUCCAUACAGGGGAGCCGUCCCUCUGGGGUGGGGCAUAGCCACAGGUUAACCCCCCACAGCAGCUUCUCAGAUCUACUACACCUGCCAGCCUCUAGCGCUUCCCCUCCAAGGGCCUCAAUGCACGUAAGAACAGAAGAACAGACAUACUUGGUCAGACCAAAGGUCCAUCUAGCCCAGUAUCCUGUCUUCCGACAGUGGCCAAUACCAGAUGCCCCAGAGGGAAUGAACAGAGCAGAUAGAGAAGCUGAGGCACAGAGAAAAAUGAUUUGCCCAACAUUACACACAGCCACUGGCAGAACCAGUAACAGAAAACAGCAGUACUGACUCCCAGCCUAUAUUCUAAACAUUAGGCCACGUUGUCUUCCCUCUACAGCCGCUAUAGGAUAUUCAGGAGAAUCCCCAUAGUUGAUUUACACUGUUGGGUAAUUUGGAGAAGCAGAAUGUAGUUUCCUACAAUUCAAGGGCAAGGCACCUGCGUUAACACUCCAGUUUUGAUAUAAAGUACCCAGGGGUUCUUAAGAACCACAAGCAAUCAGUUGCCCAGUAUGAUGUACCUUGCAACAGAUGACACCUCUGACAGCAGCACUCCAGCAGCACCUAUACAGGCUAUCUGAGGAAACAGAGGACAAGUAUGAAAAAUACUGAACCAAGCUUAUUCUGAGGUAUUAAGAAGGAUGGUCUAGUGAUUUGAGCACUGAAUUAUGACUCAAGAGACCUGGCUUCAAUUCCUAGCUCAACCAUAGACUUCUUGUGUGACCUUGGGCAAGUUGCUGUAAAAUGCGGGUAGCACUUCCCUAUCUUACAGGGGUAUUGCAAGGAUAAAAUCCCUUUAAUGAUGGUGAGGCACUUAGGUACUAAGGUGGUGAGGAUCACAUGUGUGGAGAAAUUUUUUUAGGGGACAACUCCCCACAAUGUUUAUUUGUAUUACAAAAUCCUGCAUUUAUAUCACUGUGUAUUGUCUGUUACAUGACUGUUACUUGAAAUGACACGCAUUUAAUCUGA
Molecule: non-coding RNA, 1091 nt
Organism: Chrysemys picta bellii (western painted turtle)
Lineage: Eukaryota; Metazoa; Chordata; Testudines; Emydidae
Source: RefSeq, a predicted model, not a curated record